AUCCUCUCUCUGUGUCCAAAUUAAUUGAAGUCAAUAUUUGUAAACUGCCCAAAUUCUCCACUGUAAAUGGAUUUGCUAUUCGAAGAUGCACACCAAAGCCUCUUUGCGUCCUAAUUCAAUGGGACUAUGGUAUCGCUGUGCAGAAGUGCAGAGCCGUUCUAACGAUGUGCUAUGAGAUUGUUGAAGAGGAUGAAGGUGGCGUGAUACAUCC
Molecule: long non-coding RNA, 211 nt
Filed under: Olea europaea (common olive)
Lineage: Eukaryota; Viridiplantae; Streptophyta; Magnoliopsida; Lamiales; Oleaceae
Description: long non-coding RNA (OEUR_LNC002639)
Source: RNAcentral